RNAcentral lists this ribosomal RNA (251 nucleotides) under uncultured Bacteroides sp. RNAcentral's name for it is "partial 16S ribosomal RNA". It matches the Rfam family "Bacterial small subunit ribosomal RNA", at positions 87 to 339 of the family's 1533-position model. The record is from RNAcentral. Lineage: Bacteria; Pseudomonadati; Bacteroidota; Bacteroidia; Bacteroidales; Bacteroidaceae.
GCUGGCGACCGGCGCACGGGUGAGUAACACGUAUCCAACCUGCCUCAUACUCGGGGAUAGCCUUUCGAAAGAAAGAUUAAUAUCCGAUAGCAUAUAUUUCCCGCAUGGGUUUUAUAUUAAAGAAAUUCGGUAUGAGAUGGGGAUGCGUUCCAUUAGUUUGUUGGGGGGGUAACGGCCCACCAAGACUACGAUGGAUAGGGGUUCUGAGAGGAAGGUCCCCCACAUUGGAACUGAGACACGGUCCAAACUCC